Molecule: ribosomal RNA, 1096 nt
Filed under: marine metagenome
Description: bacterial SSU rRNA
Rfam family: Bacterial small subunit ribosomal RNA
Source: RNAcentral
AGAGUUUGAUCCUGGCUCAGAACUAACGCUUGUGGUGUGUCUUAGUCAUGCGAGUCGAACGAGAACGUUUUCUUCGGAAAAUUAGUAAAGUGGCGAACGGGUGAGUAACACGUGGGUAAUCUGCCCUUGGGUUGGGAACAACACUUCUAACGAAGUGCUAAUACCGAAUGAUAAAUUGUGACAUAAGUUGCAAUUUUAAAGGUGGCCUCUACUUGUAAGCUGCCGCCUGAGGAUGAGCCCGCGCCGUAUUAGCUUGUUGGUAGGGUAACGGCCUACCAAGGCAACGAUGCGUAGCCGGCCUGAGAGGGUGAACGGCCACACUGGAACUGAGACAAGGUCCAGUCUUCUACGGAAGCCAGCAGUCUAGAAAUUUGCACAAUCGUCGAAAGACGGAUGCAGCGACACCACGUGGAGGAUGACGCCCUUCGGGGUGUAAACUCCUGUCAGUUGGGACGAAGGCGCAGGCGUUAAUACCGCUUGUUGCUUGACGGUACCAUCAGAGGAAGCUCCGGCAAACUACGUGCCAGCAGCCGCGGUAAUACGUAGGGAGCGAGCGUUGUUCGGAUUUACUGGGCGUAAAGAGCACGUAGGCGGGCAUGCAAGUCGGUUGUGAAAUCCUCUGGCUCAACCAGAGAACUGCAAUCGAAACUGCAUGCCUUGAGUCUAGCAGAGGAAAUCGGAAUCUUAGGUGUAGCGGUGAAAUGCUUAGAUAUCUAAGAGAACACCAGUGGCGAAGGCGGAUUUCUGGGCUAGCACUGACGCUGAGGUGCGAAAGCUGAGGGAGCGAACAGGAUUAGAUACCCUGGUAGUCUCAGCCGUAAACGAUGGGUACUAGGUGUUGGGGGACAUUGACCCCCUCAGUGCCGUAGCUAACGCAUUAAGUACCCCGCCUGGGGAGUACGACCGCAAGGUUGAAACUCAAAGGAAUUGACGGGGACCCGCACAAGCAGUGGAGCAUGUUGCUUAAUUCGAUGCAACGCGAAGAACCUUACCAGGGCUUGACAUCUGGGGAACCCCCUAGAAAUAGGGGGGUGCCUUCGGGAGCCCCAAGACAGGUGCUGCAUGGCUGUCGUCAGCUCGUGUCGUGAGAUGUUGG